CCGCUGGGGAACUGGGACUACAGCUUCCGGCGUGCACUGCGCUGGCAGGUGGACUGGAGCCUGGAUCCUCUGUGAGCUUACACAGCUGUGUCAAGCUGAGAUAUGGUAAAGAUAGUACCUGGCUACAUUUUAUUCUCAAAAACUUCUUCCUGCCUGCUGCAGCUGACCUCCAGGAUGCUCCUUGGUCUCCCAGGCAAGGUCCUAUGUAUGUGUGCUCUACCAUCUAUACACACCUAUGGUUUAACCUACUUCUCCCCCUCUGAUCAAUCACUUCUCUCUUCCCCUCUGCCAAUCCUCUACAGUACUUUUCAUUUAGCAUAUCUUUUCUAUUCAUAAAAUGAAAGAUAGCACCCAUCUUCUGCUGGCAAACCCACUCCUUGUCCUUUCUCCACCACCACUAAUCCUUCAAGCUGAUCUGCUCCUUUUUCCUCUCAUAUAAAAGCUAGUUUUAGGUCAUGGCUGCUCUUCUGUGAAGUAUUUCCAAUGACCUGUUUCCCCACCUCAGACCUUGUUUCCAAAAUUCUUCCCCAGACUUAGGUCACCUUUAGGCUGCAGAUGCUCAUAAAUUACCAGCUUCCUAGAACUUUCUCCCAGGGAAUCUUUAGUUUCUCCUUUCCACCCAUAGUUCAGGGUCUCUCUGUUCACCAGUUCAGGAGACAAAGUUUUCACUGCCCUCUUCACCCUUCUUCCUUACGAAUCAGGAGCAUCUCAUCACCUUUGCACCCCUUCUUGGAUGUUCUUGGGUUAUUCAUCCCUUUGGUUUCAGGCUUCACCUUUGGGGCCUGGCAUUCCUUUGCUGAUGCAUUAAUUUGGGAUUUAUGUCAAUCCCACACAUUCUGGUCCAGCCCAGCUUUCCUCUAAUAACUUCCUUCCCUUCUUCAUUCCCUUCUCCAGCUUUCCUCAGAGGACUUUCACUUGUGCUGCCCUUUUUUCUUUAAGCCUGAAACAACUGCACCCAUCUUGCGAGCCAAAUCCACACUGCCUUCAUUCAAAUUUCCCCAUAAAAUGUACUUUUGCCAGAACACCUAUCCAGCUCAGAUUCUUCUCCUGAAAUAUGUCCUGUUCCUCUAUAAUAAAAACAAAUCCUGUUUCAUAACAAAACAAAAAGAACUGAGCAAGAGACUGACUGCACAACUAAUUUUUGGCAGUUGCUUUCUGCCAAGAGCAACAUGCUUGUUCUUAUCCCACUCCUUUGGAUUGUCCUCCCCGUGUGCCUCCUGUUUGUCCUUUUGUUUUCAGCUUUUGAUUCCUUCCUGAGGGCUCCUGGCCUGAUCCUGUGCUCACACUGGUGUGAAGUGAGGAGUAGCUCCGCUGCAGCAAACAGAGCUAUGUCAAGGCGAAAUUUCUGUGGAAGACGAUCAUCCCUUUGUUUUAAUAUUAGCUAAUAAAGCCUGUGCACAGCUCCAGCACAGCGCUCUGGUUUUAAUUAAUAAAAAUUAGCAUAUACAGCUACACACACUCUUUCCCUCAGCUACUUUGAAGAAAACCCCUUUGUAUGUCUUCCUGGUUGCUCUGUGUAUUGACAUUAAAAAAACCCCAAAUGAAUAAAACCCCAAAACCAAAGUAGCAUCAAACUCCCACGCGAACAAAAGGCUUGGGUGCUGCCGGUGGCGGGCAGCGCUGGGAGCAGUCCCGGCCCCCGGCCCCUGCUCCCGCCGCCGGGGAGCCGCGCAAUUCCCAGCCCGCCGUCCCUUCCUCCGCCUUGCACAAUCCCACUGCAGCGACUUCCCAGUCUUAAUUGGAGCCUCUGGGCAUUAUUGUAUUAUUAUUAUUUAAUAAACAACCACAUAAAACACUGACAUUUAAAUAAAAGUAAAGAAAGGAAA
This is a long non-coding RNA of Agelaius phoeniceus (red-winged blackbird), 1826 nucleotides long. RefSeq lists it as uncharacterized. Lineage: Eukaryota; Metazoa; Chordata; Aves; Passeriformes; Icteridae. The record is from RefSeq and is a predicted model, not a curated record.